Schizosaccharomyces pombe (fission yeast) is the source of this 265-nucleotide non-coding RNA. NCBI's taxonomy places the organism in Eukaryota, Fungi, Ascomycota, Schizosaccharomycetes, Schizosaccharomycetales, Schizosaccharomycetaceae. The record is from the annotation of a GenBank genome assembly.
UUAGGAAACGCAACAUUAAGUAAUUAGAAAUUUGGUUAUGCAAUGUGUACUAAACGGCUUGUAACUUAAAAGGAGCUUAACGUCGAACAUUGUGAGUCUCCAAAAAACAUAGUUUUUUUAGCAAAGCAGUAAAUAUUUGACGUUAAAAUACUUGACAGAUAAUAUUAACAUCAAAUGAAUCUUAUCAUUUCUAAAAGCUUUGCAGUAGUUGCUUUGCAUUCCCUGAAUUUCGUUUUACAUUCACUGCGCUUUCUUAAAAUAUGGU